This 77-nucleotide transfer RNA is filed under the name Aulosira sp. FACHB-113. RNAcentral describes it as "tRNA-Ser". The record is from RNAcentral. Lineage: Bacteria; Bacillati; Cyanobacteriota; Cyanophyceae; Nostocales; Fortieaceae.
GCUGAAAGUAUUGGAAAAUCAAGGUUAAUGUCACCUUCCCAAGGUGAACGUCGUGGGUUCGAGUCCCAUCUCCCGCU